Molecule: transfer RNA, 76 nt
Filed under: Candidatus Bathyarchaeota archaeon
Lineage: Archaea; Thermoproteati; Candidatus Bathyarchaeota
Description: tRNA-Val
Rfam family: tRNA
About the family: Transfer RNA (tRNA) molecules are approximately 80 nucleotides in length. Their secondary structure includes four short double-helical elements and three loops (D, anti-codon, and T loops). Further hydrogen bonds mediate the characteristic L-shaped molecular structure. tRNAs have two regions of fundamental functional importance: the anti-codon, which is responsible for specific mRNA codon recognition, and the 3' end, to which the tRNAs corresponding amino acid is attached (by aminoacyl-tRNA synthetases). tRNAs cope with the degeneracy of the genetic code in two manners: having more than one tRNA (with a specific anti-codon) for a particular amino acid; and 'wobble' base-pairing, i.e. permitting non-standard base-pairing at the 3rd anti-codon position.
Source: RNAcentral
GGGCCCGUAGUCUAGCGGUUAGGACGCCACCCUCACACGGUGGAGGUCCCCGGUUCAAAUCCGGGCGGGCCCACCA